CACAAGAGCCGGGGGCAGUGGGGAAACCAGGAAGUCUGCAGGCACGACGGUCAGGGGAGGAGCUUUUUUAACAAAUCUAAGGGUGCAGGGAUCACUUUCACCUAGCAAGCUGCUCAGCCUUGUUUCUUUUGUUCCAGGCAGGCCAGCUCUAUUCGAGAGGAUACAGGCAAGCCGGGGAGAUGAAGGUGCAGGUCCUAAAUCCACCGAAGGUCGAGUGAUAGGUGGCCAGUCCCACAGACCUGCACACAGCUGGGCUCUGCUCUCCCUCCUUCCUCCACGCCACAGGGCUGGAAGGAAUCCAGGGAGCCCUUCCGAAAAUUCCUUUAGAGAACUGACCUCAUUUGAAGCGGACACUGAGCCUGGAGAAGCCUUUUACUUCUGGCCGGGUGAGUGUAAGUCGAAAUAAAGGCAAAGUCGUGCAUUUGAAGAUAAGUGUGAUAGUCCCCAGCACAGAGUGAGACCAUGGCAACACACAAGGACACAGGAGCUCCUGUCUCAUGACCAGAAAACAAAACCCAGCCAUGGUGAGUCAGGAGCACCGUGGGACAGAGAGUUCUCCUCGGUUUGGGUCAGGAUGCCUGAGCUCAGCAAGGAUUUAUUGACCUUCUACACUGAGUUCAGCAGAGCCAGUGAGAUGACAUUCUCACAUACUGAUUAUGCAUAGCGGGCUCAAGGGAACCACAGCUUUCUGGCCGCUGGCUCUGAUCAUCCUACGCAGCUUUCCUCAGAUGUCCCACACUCCUGGCUUCUCCAGCUCUCUGGGGUUUCCAGUCCAGGUUUGCCUUCACUCUCAGAGCUUCACACACUGCCCCCCAGAGCCACACUGCCUGGCUUCCAGGGGAAUGAAUCCCAGGAGGCCAGUUUCCCAGAUGACCUUUUUUUUUUCCGAAUAAAAAAACAGUUUUGUCGAGGUAUAAUUAACAUACAAUAAAUUGGACAUAUUCAAAGUAUACAAUUUGGUUUUGACAAAUGUAUAUAACUGUGGAAACAUCACAC
This 996-nucleotide long non-coding RNA is filed under the name Heterocephalus glaber (naked mole-rat). RNAcentral's name for it is "lncRNA (ENSHGLG00000044760.1)". The record is from RNAcentral. Lineage: Eukaryota; Metazoa; Chordata; Mammalia; Rodentia; Bathyergidae.